Molecule: ribosomal RNA, 515 nt
Filed under: uncultured bacterium
Lineage: Bacteria
Description: partial 16S ribosomal RNA
Rfam family: Bacterial small subunit ribosomal RNA
Source: RNAcentral
GAUGAACGCUGGCGGCGUGCCUAAUACUUGCAAGUCGAGCGAAUGGAUUAAGAGCUUGCUCUUAUGAAGUUAGCGGCGGACGGGUGAGUAACACGUGGGUAACCUGCCCAUAAGACUGGGAUAACUCCGGGAAACCGGGGCUAAUACCGGAUAACAUUUUGAACCGCAUGGUUCGAAAUUGAAAGGCGGCUUCGGCUGUCACUUAUGGAUGGACCCGCGUCGCAUUAGCUAGUUGGUGAGGUAACGGCUCACCAAGGCAACGAUGCGUAGCCGAGCUGAGAGGGUGAGCGCCCACACUGGGACUGAAACACGGCCGAGCCUCCAGCGGGAGGCAGAAGUAGGGAAUCUUCGAAAAUGGCCGAAAGUCUGGCGGAGCAACGCCGCGUGAGUGAGAAAGGCUUUCGGGUCGAAAAACUCUGUUGUUAGGAAAGAACAAGUGCUAGUUGAAUAGGCUGGCACCUUGACGGUACCAAACCAAAAAGCCACGGCUAACUACGUGCCAGCAGCCGCCGUAA